This is a long non-coding RNA of Gasterosteus aculeatus aculeatus (three-spined stickleback), 1036 nucleotides long. Lineage: Eukaryota; Metazoa; Chordata; Actinopteri; Perciformes; Gasterosteidae. The record is from Ensembl.
GCAGUUCUACGGCUUCAUUUGUCGGGGGCGAGGACAAAUCGGCCCGAGAUCUCUCCGGCGAGAUUAAUGGCACCGCAAAUCAUGGCUCACGUUGCCGCGGCGACAGGCCUCCUCCCCGCGGCUGCAGCUCAUUUAAAAGCCGUAUAAUCUUUGGCGGUGGCGGAGCGGAGGGAAACCGCAUCGCUGGACCAGAACGCCUGACAGCUGCAUGGAGGCCUGCCAGGGCCGCUCCAGGCCCACAGGACCCCCCCCAAAAAACACCCCAUCCCCCAGCAUGCCGGAGCCACGGAGAGGAGGCUCUCGUGGAAGCUGCUCGUUGGAGAUACGGGACACGUUUUUUUAUUUCACCUUUGAUUUAACCGCAGAACCUUCCGAGGAGGAGGAGUCAACGUACACAAAGUAAACAGCGCCGGCUGCGGUUUGAUCGUAUCACACCGGAGGCCUGCGUGUUAAACUGCACCACCUCCAUGCGCUGCUUUGACAAGAUCUUCAGGCUGGAGGGCGGCUUGGCUUUAGCUCCAACACUUCAGCCUGAAACGCACAAAGAAGAAUGGACACUUCAUUUAAUGGCGAUGUGUCUCCAGCCGUCCCCCUCCUCUGCUCGUCUGAAUGAAGACUUCCUCCAACACGCCGACCGUCGCUCUGCUAUUCUUAUCUCGCCGAGUGACAACAGAAGAAACUUUAAAUUGGGCCUCAAAGAAGCGACUGCCGAGGAGAGAAACGUCCGGAAGCUGAUUCCAGCUCACGGAACAGAAGCGUCGCGUGCAAAGGAUUGUGGGUAUUUUUGGAGGAUUAACGCGUCCUUUAAUAUCUUCCAAUUGAAGGAUUCAGCUCUCAGAAUAAUUCUGAGGAUCCUUUUUUAUAUUUCUGAGAGGACAGAUUUAGUACAUACUUAUUAUUAUAAGUAUUAGUAUUAUUUUACACAAAGAAAGUAUAACUACUAUCAUUAUUUUGGUGGAUUGAACUGGUCUGACGGGCUUUGAUUCACGUCCCGUUCACGUCUGAGAAAGACUAACAAAUAAAAAACAAAUUUCCG